RNAcentral lists this ribosomal RNA (658 nucleotides) under uncultured fungus. Its description in RNAcentral is "eukaryotic LSU rRNA". It matches the Rfam family "Eukaryotic large subunit ribosomal RNA", at positions 24 to 664 of the family's 3401-position model. Lineage: Eukaryota; Fungi. The record is from RNAcentral.
CCCGCUGAACUUAAGCAUAUCAAUAAGCGGAGGAAAAGAAACUAACAAGGAUUCCCCUAGUAACGGCGAGUGAAGCGGGAAGAGCUCAAAUUUAAAAUCUGGCAGUCUUUGGUUGCCCGAAUUGUAAUCUAGAGAAGCGUUUUCCGUGCUGGACUGUGUACACGUUUCCUGGAUACGGAACAUCAUAGAGGGUGAGAAUCCCGUCCUUGACGCAGACCCCCAGUACUUUUGUGAUGCGCUCUCGACGAGUCGAGUUGUUUGGGAUUGCAGCUCAAAAUGGGAGGUAAAUUCCUUCUAAAGCUAAAUAUUGGCGAGAGACCGAUAGCGAACAAGUACCGUGAGGGAAAGAUGAAAAGCACUUUGGAAAGAGAGUUAAACAGUACGUGAAAUUGUUAAAAGGGAAACGCUUGAAGUCAGUCACGUCGUUCAGGAUUCAGCCUUGCUUCUGCUUGGUGUACUUCCUGUUUGACGGGUCAGCAUCAGUUUUGGCCAGUGGAUAAAGGCUCAGAGAAUGUGGCAUCCUCGGAUGUGUUAUAGCUUUGGGUCGCAUACAUUGGCUGGGACUGAGGAACUCAGCACGCCGCAAGGCCAGGUUUCGACCAUGUACGUGCUUAGGAUGCUGGCAUAAUGGCUUUAAUCGACCCGUCUUGAAACACGG